RNAcentral lists this ribosomal RNA (253 nucleotides) under uncultured bacterium. Its description in RNAcentral is "partial 16S ribosomal RNA". It matches the Rfam family "Bacterial small subunit ribosomal RNA", at positions 333 to 583 of the family's 1533-position model. The record is from RNAcentral.
UGGAACCUACGGGGGGCAGCAGUGAGGAAUAUUGGUCAAUGGCCGAGAGGCUGAACCAGCCAAGUCGCGUGAGGGAUGACGGCCCUACGGGUUGUAAACCUCUUUUGUCGGGGAGCAAGACCCGCCACGAGUGGCGGAGCGAGAGUACCCGAAGAAAAAGCAUCGGCUAACUCCGUGCCAGCAGCCGCGGUAAUACGGAGGAUGCGAGCGUUAUCCGGAUUUAUUGGGUUUAAAGGGUGCGUAGGCGGGACGG